This 377-nucleotide ribosomal RNA is filed under the name uncultured Glomus. Its description in RNAcentral is "partial 18S ribosomal RNA". Lineage: Eukaryota; Fungi; Glomeromycota; Glomeromycetes; Glomerales; Glomeraceae. The record is from RNAcentral.
CGUAAGGCGCCGAAUGAGUCAUUAAAAAUUAACAUCAUCCGAUCCCUAGUCGGCAUAGUUUAUGGUUAAGGCUACGACGGUAUCUGAUCGUCUUCGAUCCCCUAACUUUCGUUCUUGAUUAAUGAAAACAUCCUUGGCAAAUGCUUUUCGCAGUAGUUAGUCUUCAAUAAAUCCAAGAAUUUCACCUCUGACAAUUGAAUACUAAUGCCCCCAACUAUCCCUAUUAAUCAUUACGUCGAUCCUAGAAGCCAACAAAUAGAAUCAAACGUCCUAUUUCAUUAUUCCAUGCUAAUGUAUUCAAGCGUGAGCCUGCUUUAAACACUCUAAUUUUUCAAAGUAACAGUCCUGAUUCCCAAGACACCAAAUUAUGACAUCAA